Molecule: non-coding RNA, 74 nt
Organism: Ameiurus melas (black bullhead)
Lineage: Eukaryota; Metazoa; Chordata; Actinopteri; Siluriformes; Ictaluridae
Source: the annotation of a GenBank genome assembly
GGCCACAUGGUGGCUUAGUGGUUAUCACAUCCGCCUCACACCUCCAGGGUUGGGUUCGAUUCCCACCGUGGCCC